UAGGGAAUAUUGCACAAUGGGCGAAAGCCUGAUGCAGCGACGCCGCGUGCGGGAUGAAGGCCCUUGGGUUGUAAACCGCUUUUGGCAGGGAAGAAGCGAAAGUGACGGUACCUGCAGAAUAAGCCCCGGCCAACUACGUGCCAGCAGCCGCGGUAAUACGUAGGGGGCGAGCGUUGUCCGGAUUUAUUGGGCGUAAAGACCUCGUAGGCGGUUUGGUAAGUCAGCGGUGAAAGUUCGGAGCUCAACUCCGAAAGUGCCGUUGAUACUGCCAUGACUUGAGUCCGGUAGGGGAGUGUGGAAUUCCUGGUGUAGCGGUGAAAUGCGCAGAUAUCAGGAGGAACACCAGUGGCGAAGGCGGCACUCUGGGCCGGUACUGACGCUGAGGAGGGAAAGCUAGGGGAGCAAACAGG
This 410-nucleotide ribosomal RNA is filed under the name uncultured bacterium. RNAcentral describes it as "bacterial SSU rRNA". It matches the Rfam family "Bacterial small subunit ribosomal RNA", at positions 355 to 776 of the family's 1533-position model. The record is from RNAcentral.